Long non-coding RNA from Triticum dicoccoides, 382 nucleotides. RefSeq lists it as uncharacterized. Lineage: Eukaryota; Viridiplantae; Streptophyta; Magnoliopsida; Poales; Poaceae. The transcript is spliced from 2 exons. The record is from RefSeq and is a predicted model, not a curated record.
UCAAUAGAUUAAGAGACGAUAGGGUUAUGGUCUACACUCAACGAGCCCAGUGGCGUUGAUGGAGCCCUAACUUAGCGACUACGUAUUAUUCCGUUGUAUUAUGUGCCAGCAUUGAGUUGUGCCAAUGGGAUAGCAUAGUAAACACAGAGACUUGGAUUCUACCAAAUCCGGGUCGUGACAAGGCCCUUCAUGGAGGGAAGUAGGGAUUUGUAGAGGUACCAGAGAUCAAAGCUUAAAUUGAGAGAUUAAAACAGUUUUGAGAGGCAUACUUUUCCCACCAACAAAAAUGACUUAGAGCUCCCAACACUUUUCAUGCUAGAUACAUCAUAGUCGGUUCCCAAACAGAAAAUAAAGUGUAUUCCUUUUUUCACCAAUACUUUCA